This 493-nucleotide ribosomal RNA is filed under the name Saturnispora saitoi. RNAcentral's name for it is "eukaryotic LSU rRNA". It matches the Rfam family "Eukaryotic large subunit ribosomal RNA", at positions 102 to 648 of the family's 3401-position model. The record is from RNAcentral. Lineage: Eukaryota; Fungi; Ascomycota; Pichiomycetes; Pichiales; Pichiaceae.
CAAANGCUCCACUUUGAAAGCGUUUCGGCGCGUUGNAGUGUGGUGCAGUCUUUGAACGGCGAAUAACUAAGUCCCUUGGAACAGGGUGCCAUAGAGGGUGAGAGCCCCGUGAGUUAUUUAUUAAGUUCUUUAAGUCUGUACUAAAGAGUCGAGUUGUUUGGGAAUGCAGCUCUAAGUGGGUGGUAAAUUCCAUCUAAGGCUAAAUACCGGCGAGAGACCGAUAGCGAACAAGUACAGUGAUGGAAAGAUGAAAAGCACUUUGAAAAGAGAGUGAAACAGUACGUGAAAUUGUUGAAAGGGAAGGGUAUUUGGCCCGACAUGGGUCCUGUGCACCGUUGCCUCUUGUGGGCGGCGCUCUGCUGGGGCCUGGGCCAGCAUCAUUUUUCUGGCGGGGAUAAGGUUGCGUGAACCACCUAGUGGGGAUCGUGGCGAUGCCCGCACGGGGGAAUGAGGACUGCCGCUGUAGGAUGCUGGCACAACGGCCAAAUACCGC